Molecule: long non-coding RNA, 219 nt
Organism: Helianthus annuus (common sunflower)
Lineage: Eukaryota; Viridiplantae; Streptophyta; Magnoliopsida; Asterales; Asteraceae
Exons: 3
Source: RefSeq, a predicted model, not a curated record
GUUUUAGUUUGCUCAAAUCAAGAUUGUCCUAAGGAGGUUGUGGCUGCGACGCCGAUUUUUAGGAUUCCAAUAAGAGUACAAGAUUAUGCAGCUAUUGCCUCUUUGACUUUGUUCGACCGUGAAGCUAGAAAAAUGUUGGGUAUGACAGCAAUUCAAUUGCUUGAGAAGUGUAAAGUGGAUCAGGCAUCUUUGGAAGAGAAAACCAUUCCCUAUCAGUUU